UUCCGGUUGAUCCUGCCGGACCCGACUGCUAUCAGAGUGAGAUUAAGCCAUGCGAGUUAACGUAGCAAUACGUGGCGCACGGCUCAGUAACACGUAGUCAACAUGCCCAGAGGACGUGGAUAACCUCGGGAAACUGAGUCUAAACCGCGAUAAGUGAGGAUUUCUGGAAUGGUUCCUGACUAAAAUCUAUAUGGCCUCUGGAUUGGACUGCGGCCGAUCAGGCUGUUGGUGAGGUAAUGGCCCACCAAACCUGUAACCGGUACGGGCUCUGAGAGGAGGAGCCCGGAGAUGGGCACUGAGACAAGGGCCCAGGCCCUAUAGGGCGCAGCAGGCGCGAAACCUCUGCAAUAGGCGCAAGCCUGACAGGGUUACUCUGAGUGACUUUCGCUAAGAAAGUCUUUUGGCACCUCUAAAAAGGGUGCAGAAUAAGGGGUGGGCAAGUCUGGUGUCAGCCGCCGCGGUAAUACCAGCACCCCGAGUGGUCGGGACGAUUAUUGGGCCUAAAGCAUCCGUAGCCGGUUCUGCAAGUCCCCCGUUAAAUCCAGCUGCUCAACAGAUGGGCCGCGGAGGAUACUACAGAGCUAGGGGGCAGGAGAGGCAAGCGGUACUCAGUGGGUAGGGGUAAAAUCCGUUGAUCCAUUGAAGACCACCAGUGGCGAAGGCGGCUUGCCAGAAUGCGCUCGACGGUGAGGGAUGAAAGCUGGGGGAGCAAACCGGAUUAGAUACCCGGGUAGUCCCAG
RNAcentral lists this ribosomal RNA (740 nucleotides) under uncultured archaeon. Its description in RNAcentral is "bacterial SSU rRNA". It matches the Rfam family "Archaeal small subunit ribosomal RNA", at positions 1 to 750 of the family's 1478-position model. The record is from RNAcentral.